AACGCUGGCGGCAUGCCUAACACAUGCAAGUCGAGCGGGGAAAGGUAGCUUGCUACCUAACCUAGCGGCGGACGGGUGAGUAAUGCUUAGGAAUCUGCCUAUUAGUGGGGGACAACAUUCCGAAAGGAAUGCUAAUACCGCAUACGCCCUACGGGGGAAAGCAGGGGAUCUUCGGACCUUGCGCUAAUAGAUGAGCCUAAGUCAGAUUAGCUAGUUGGUGGGGUAAAGGCCUACCAAGGCGGCGAUCUGUAGCGGGUCUGAGAGGAUGAUCCGCCACACUGGGACUGAGACACGGCCCAGACUCCUACGGGAGGCAGCAGUGGGGAAUAUUGGACAAUGGGCGAAAGCCUGAUCCAGCCAUGCCGCGUGUGUGAAGAAGGCCUUUUGGUUGUAAAGCACUUUAAGCGAGGAGGAGGCUACUUAGAUUAAUACUCUAGGAUAGUGGACGUUACUCGCAGAAUAAGCACCGGCUAACUCUGUGCCAGCAGCCGCGGUAAUACAGAGGGUGCGAGUGUUAAUCGGAUUUACUGGGCGUAAAGCGUGCGUAGGCGGCUUUUUAAGUCGGAUGUGAAAUCCCUGAGCUUAACUUAGGAAUUGCAUUCGAUACUGGGAAGCUAGAGUAUGGGAGAGGAUGGUAGAAUUCCAGGUGUAGCGGUGAAAUGCGUAGAGAUCUGGAGGAAUACCGAUGGCGAAAGGCAGCCAUCUGGCCUAAUACUGACGCUGA
Molecule: ribosomal RNA, 724 nt
Filed under: uncultured bacterium
Lineage: Bacteria
Description: bacterial SSU rRNA
Rfam family: Bacterial small subunit ribosomal RNA
Source: RNAcentral